CAAUAGCGUAUAUUAAAGUUGUUGCAGUUAAAAAGCUCGUAGUUGGAUUUCUGGCAGGAGCGACCGGUCGCACGCUAUGCGUGUGAACUUGUGUUGUCUCUGGCCAUCCUUGGGGAGAUCCCGUUUGGCAUUAAGUUGUCGGGCGGGGGAUACCCAUCGUUUACUGUGAAAAAUUAGAGUGUUUAAAGCAGGCUUAUGCCGUUGAAUAUAUUAGCAUGGAAUAAUAAGAUAGGACUUUGGAACUAUUUUGUUGGUUUGCGUUACAAAGUAAUGAUUAAUAGGGACAGUUGGGGGCAUUCGUAUCAACACGUCAGAGGUGGAAUUCUUGGAUUGUGUUGCGACGAACUACUGCGAAAGCAUUUGCCAAGGAUGUUUUCAUUGAUCAAGAACGAAAGUAAGGGGAUCGAAGACGAUUAGAU
Molecule: ribosomal RNA, 419 nt
Filed under: uncultured eukaryote
Lineage: Eukaryota
Description: SSU rRNA
Rfam family: Eukaryotic small subunit ribosomal RNA
Source: RNAcentral